Molecule: ribosomal RNA, 253 nt
Filed under: uncultured prokaryote
Description: partial 16S ribosomal RNA
Rfam family: Bacterial small subunit ribosomal RNA
Source: RNAcentral
ACGUAGGGUGCGAGCGUUAAUCGGAAUUACUGGGCGUAAAGCGUGCGCAGGCGGUUUUGUAAGCCAGAUGUGAAAUCCCCGGGCUUAACCUGGGAACUGCAUUUGGGACUGCAAGGCUGGAGUACGGCAGAGGGAGGUGGAAUUCCACGUGUAGCAGUGAAAUGCGUAGAGAUGUGGAGGAACACCAAUGGCGAAGGCAGCCUCCUGGGCUAGUACUGACGCUCAUGCACGAAAGCGUGGGGAGCAAACAGGA